CUAUAAUUAAAAAUGGAACUCCUGCAUCCAGAGGAGUGUGUGGCAGCUCAAGCUGAAGAAUGAAUACCACAUUAAAACCUGACUGCAGGAGAUGAUCAGAAUAAAGCAGGAGACAGAAGGCUUUCCUGAAGGUCUGCUAGAUGAGCUCUAAAGGUCAUUUCCACACACGUUUCUGCUGAACGCCUCCCGCACAUUUCUCCGAGAAGCGAAAGUGAAACAGCAGAGGCUUUAAACCCUCCAGUGUGUCUGUGCUCGUCCUGAAGCCUCUGCGAACACCAGGAGCUCGGAUAAACCGCUUUGAUUCCGUUAAUAAGACGCCACGGUGGAUUCUCCGGUUUGUUCGCGAACGCAGAAUUGUGGGUCAUAUUCAGAAUCAUGCGGCAGAUCAGCGGGCGUCAGCAGAGCGCUGCCCGCGGUGUCCAGAAGGGGGCAGUCUGACCUCAGACAUCCGCAGACUAUACGAGCGAGGCCCCUGGGAAGAUGGCCGUCAGGGGCCCAGAGCAAGAUUUAAUGCAGGAGGCUGUGGGAAAUCUGCUGACCUGAGAAGACCGGCUCAGAAAUGAUCUCUCAAGCUAUGACUUUCAUCAGCUGAUACUAAUGAAAGCACUUCAUUACAGGACAUUGUUUUAAAAGGAUGUUUUCUUGAAUCUGGCUCUGUGGUGGUUUCGUUUUUCAUCACUUGUCACUUGUUUAAUGUGUUUUCUUUAUUGCAUUUACUUGAUGCUUUUCUCUAAAGUGACUUAUUGAUCCAUAUGACGGGAUUCGGCUGUAAUGUUCUUUAUUCUCUUGCCUGAACAAAAAAAUAAAUAAACUGUUUUCCUCACUGAAUCAUACCUGGAAUUUUCUGAAUUUCACUAUGACAGAAAUGCAGCGAUUAACUUUCUGAAUGUUUUUCAUGUUUUGCUGCUCCACAUCGGGUUGAAAUGAAUGAAGCAGAAUCUGGGUAUCAGUUCCAAACUCGUACGAUUGUCUUUCUUCUGUGGAACAAGGAAGAUUUGUUAGAGAAUCAAUGCAAUAAUAGUCAGUGGGGUCUAAAGUUUCAAGCACCAAAAAAACAUAAAUGUGGUGUAAAAGUCAUCAUACAACUCCAGCAGACUCUUCUGAAGCCAUACGAUCACUUUACACAACUAUCGGAGGGACCUCAAAUCAGCUCAUGUUUACAGACCUUUCUGAAAAUCAAGUAUGCUUUAAAAAGAGCACUUAAGUAAUAUACUUCAGAACAAUAUAUGGUCACACUUUAGUUUAGGGGACCAGUUCUUACUACUUUUGCCUCAAUAAACUCCUUAUUUGCUGCUUAUUAAUAGUUAGUAAGGUAGUUUAGGUAUUGGGUCAAAAUAAGGCAUCUAAAAUAUGCUUGUGCAUCAAAAUGUGUUAUAUUAGUGCUAAUAAACAGCCAAUAUGCUAGUAAUAUGCAUGCUAGUUAAUAGUGAGAACUGGCCCUUAAACUAAAGUGUUAAUUUAUAUACUUAAAGGGGACAUCAGAUGCAAAAUUCACUUUUACAUGAAUAUAAUGUGUGUUGGCAGUGUGUGGACACAAUUACCCUACAAUGAUAAAAAACACUCUUUUUUUUUUAAUCCCCAAAAAUCCUAUACAGUCUCAGUGACCAAGCUUUGAUUUUCUGAGCAGUAUGACGUCAUAUUGCUCAAGCCCCGCCCACAGCCGCUGACGGUGUUCUGAAAUAUUUGGUGUCUGAGAUUUUCUGUGAAACUGGGCGAAGCUUACAUGAAUAUUCAUGAGUUUCCUCUUAAAGUGCAGUUAAAACAUUAGUGCUCCUCGGAUCAAAAAAAAAAAAAAAAACCUGUUUCCGCAUGUGUGUUCCCAGCGAAUUGAACCCAUGACCUUUCAUCUGUUAACAUAGUGCUCUACCACCGAGCCACAGGAACACUUGAAGCAUCAGGAACACUAAUGUACUGUAUGUAACAUGUUGGCUGGCUUACUGGAAAAAUGCAUCAUCUUUUGAAUUUAAGUCUGUUAUCUGUAUAAUGAGCCUGAAACUAUCAUAUGGCACAAAACAAUUAGAACAGUGUGUAGACACCUGCUGAAAUCCCUCUCACGUCUUCUCCAUAUACACAUUUGUGAUUAAACAUUUAUCACCAAAUACCUUGCUCUAUUUAUUGUAUUCAUAAAUUAAAAAUGC
This is a long non-coding RNA of Cyprinus carpio carpio, 2138 nucleotides long. NCBI's taxonomy places the organism in Eukaryota, Metazoa, Chordata, Actinopteri, Cypriniformes, Cyprinidae. The record is from Ensembl.